CCUACGGGGGGCAGCAGUGGGGGAUAUUGCACAAUGGGGGAAACCCUGAUGCAGCGAUGCCGCGUGAGUGAAGACGGCCUUCGGGUUGUAAAGCUCUGUCGCAGGGGACGAAAAUGACGGUACCCUGCAAGAAAGCUCCGGCUAACUACGUGCCAGCAGCCGCGGUAAUACGUAGGGGGCGAGCGUUAUCCGGAAUUACUGGGUGUAAAGGGAGCGUAGACGGCGAGGUAAGCCUGAAGUGGAAGCCCGCGGCCCAACCGCGGCACUGCUUUGGGAACUGUUUUGCUGGAGUAUGGGAGGGGUAA
Molecule: ribosomal RNA, 305 nt
Filed under: uncultured bacterium
Lineage: Bacteria
Description: bacterial SSU rRNA
Rfam family: Bacterial small subunit ribosomal RNA
Source: RNAcentral